GAUGAAGAACGUAGCGAAAUGCGAUAAGUAAUGCGAAUUGCAGAAUCCGUGAGUCAUCGAAUCUUUGAACGCACAUUGCGCCCUCUGGUAUUCCGGAGGGCAUGCCUGUUCGAGCGUCAUUAUCACCCCUCAAGCCCGGCUUGUUGUUGGAUGCAGCGCUUAUCCCGCUCCUCCCAAAGAUAAUGACGGCGUCUGCGACGACUCCUGUACACUGAGCUUUCGGGCACGUACACGGCUAGAAGUCCAGACCCGGUCGCCGUCCCCCCCGCGGGGACACCCAUUACCACAAGGUUGACCUCGGAUCAGGUAGGGAUACCCGCUGAACUUAAGCAUAUCAAUAAGCGGAGGA
RNAcentral lists this unclassified non-coding RNA (349 nucleotides) under soil metagenome. RNAcentral describes it as "partial contains 5.8S ribosomal RNA, internal transcribed spacer 2, and large subunit ribosomal RNA". The stretch from base 1 to 119 matches the Rfam family "5.8S ribosomal RNA", at positions 35 to 154 of the family's 154-position model. The record is from RNAcentral.